Nomia melanderi (Alkali bee) is the source of this 5467-nucleotide non-coding RNA. Lineage: Eukaryota; Metazoa; Arthropoda; Insecta; Hymenoptera; Halictidae. The record is from RefSeq and is a predicted model, not a curated record.
AGUGCCCUGUGAGAGCAGGGGACGGACCGAACGAACGAACGAACACUCUCUAUAACUAAUCGCUCGUGACGCUUCGCCGUCUGUCCGAAUGUCCGUCCCAAAUCGGCCGACGCGGCGCGCACACACGCAGAGCAGCACUUCUGUUUUCCGUUCUCUUUUUCUCGCGGUGACGUGUGAGCCGAGCCUUCGGCCGAGCUGAGCUCGCGACGCGCGCGUACCGUGCCCGACAACAGAACCAUCCGGCGUCGAGCAGCAGUUUCCACGGUUAGUGCCGGUCCGUUAGCGGCUUCGCCGCGACAUGCCCUGUUUUCCCGGAUGAUCAUCGUCGCCGCACGCUUCCUCGUGCCUUCCGCUGGACUCGCCUGGACGUUGUCGCCGGACCGCUGGACCCCAGUGCACGUCCGCCGCCGCUGAACGAGCCACGGGGAAAGACAUGUGGCCGCCGCUUGGACCUCUCCGGCAGGACCCAAAGACACCCUGAUGGCAGUCACCGUCCCGGCGACAGAUCGCGACCGUUCGCCGCCACUCGAAGCCCCGUUGUCGCUUCGUCCUCUGAAGGAGUAGUACUGGCUAACAUUUUCAGUGAGAGAGUGCAGUGCGUGCAGGUGCGGUUGGUGACCUAAUUCGUUGUUUGUUCCCGCCGCGAGAGAGAGAAUUGAAACAGAGAAACUAGCCGCUGCUGCUGCUGCUGCUCUAGCCGCUGCUGUUGCUGCUGCUGCUGCUGCUGCUGCUGCUGAUCAUCGACGACCGAGUCGAGCCGGCCGAAAUGUCAGCGUACGCGCAGUUCGGGUACUCGUAUCCGUCGGCGUCCCAGCUGCUGGUGAGCGGCGGACAGCCAACGACGACGACGUCGCCGGCGAUGUCGUCGGGGGGUGCGCUCAGUCCGGGCGCGCUGUCGCCGUCGUCGUCGACGACGACAGGCGCCGCUGCCGCGGCCGCCUCCGGAGGGGCGAGCACCCCCGUGGGCGGGACGACAGGGCCCGGUUGCUGCGAGAACGGCAGGCCCAUGAUGACGGACCCGGUCACCGGGCAAACGGUCUGCAGCUGUCAGUACGACAGCGCGGCGAGGCUCGCGCUGGGCGCCUACCCCAGGCUAGCGCCCACGGCGACCUCCUACUCCUCUUACCCCACGCCGACGCCAUCCACCACCGACCAGGGGCCCUACCCUAGCAUCAGCAUGGACAGCUCAGCGUUCUAUCCACCUUUGGGAAAUCCGUACGGAUUGAAGGACACGACGGGGAUGGGCAUGACGGCGGAUAUGGGUGCUGCAUGGGGCACGGCCGCCCUUCAACCUGCUGCCACGGGUUACUACCCCUACGAUCCAACCCUGGCCGCCUACGGAUACGGGGCUGGAUACGACCUAGCCGCGCGGCGGAAGAACGCGACGAGGGAGUCGACGGCGACCUUGAAGGCCUGGCUGAACGAGCACAAGAAGAACCCGUACCCGACGAAGGGCGAGAAAAUCAUGCUGGCGAUUAUCACGAAGAUGACGCUGACGCAGGUCUCGACUUGGUUCGCUAACGCGCGGCGGCGCCUGAAGAAAGAGAACAAGAUGACCUGGGAGCCGAAGAACAAGACCGACGACGACGACGACGCGGUUCUCACGGACUCGGAGGAUAACAAGGAGAAAGACGACCUCGCGGGGGACAAUCAGGGCGAUAGGGUCGGCGAGGAAGCGAGGAGGGGCCUCGAAGAAAAUGAGCCGAUGAGGCACGUGAAAGCGGAGCACUUGCAGCACGACAAGGACCUGGACGACGAGGACGACCUGGACCUCGAGGAGGACCCACGGCGGACCGAGCAUCCCUUUCAUCACGCGAUGCAGCACCAUCACCACCAUCACCAAGGGUACGCCGGGGAGGACCAUCUGAAGGACGAGGGCAUCAAGUCGGACUGCAGCGCGGCCGGCGUGCCGAUACCCGCGACCAAGCCAAAGAUUUGGUCCCUGGCGGACACGGCCGCCUGCAAAACGCCGCCGCCACCUUCCCACCCUCACCACCAACAGUACCACCACCUGCACCAUCAACAGCACUACGGCCAGCAGCAGCAUCACCUGGCGAACCAAGGACACCACCAUCAUUCCCAGCAACCUUGGCUCGGUUCCGCGGGCGGCGGCGGCAACGCCGGUGCCGGCGGCGGCGGAGGGAACCUCAGCUCGUUCGCGUUACCGUCCUCCGCGUCGAUGAGCCCUUCCGCGGCCGCGACCGCGCCGUAUUCGAGCGCCGCCACGAGGUACGGUGGCUUCCUGUCGUCCUCGUCCGGCGGCCAGCUGCACUACAACCCGAACUCCUCGUCCGGGUCAACAUCGAGCGCGUCCUCCUCGGCGGCGGCGGGGUUUCCCGAGGUUGGUACGGACACUCCACCCCAGACACCGCCCAACAUGAAGGUGGCUACACCGAAUGGAGUGAUCCAGGCACCACCGGCUGGCUACUGCACCACUGGCAACGGCAACGCGACGAGCAACGGUAAUCCUAACCCGUACGGAGCUAGCCACCCGGCCGCCACCGGCUACCUGUCCACGAGCUCCGGCUCCGCCAGCAGCGGGUCGUCCUUCAGCUCCAGGCUGCAGGCAUCCCCGCACAAGGACUUCUCGCCGGCAGCGCAGAACUCCAUUCUGCAUCAGCACCAGACCACUGCCAGCCUACCGGCCACGGAGGCCACCACUGCGUUUAAGCCGUUCUACAAAGGCAUUGGAAUGACCGAGUUAGAAACUCGUAGAAGAGAAUAACACUGGAAUCCGAUGGUUCCAGGUCACAGUCGAUGGGCAGUGGGUUCGUCUCGCCAGUGUAAGGCCCGGUGGAUCAACGUCGGAUCACCGUCGCGUCCCCCGAGGAUUAAGCCGUGGCGCGAACGACUGUCCCACGACCGGACUGUAAAUACUCGCUCCUGAGAGGUCCUGGGAUUUAUUAGCGUCGCCUUGGGUGGACGGAGGAGGAAGCGGAGGAGAGUGGCUGCUUGAGAAACCAGCGAGAGGCCAGGAACACAGGGGAGAGAAGCAGGGGCAGAGAGAGAGAGAGAGAAAGAGAGGAGAGACCGGCGAAAAUGGGAGCCGAUGCGAGAGGACGAGCCGUGAAAAAGCGGAAUGGAGGACGGGCAGGAGGGAAAGAAUCGGGGGUGGCCGACCGGAGAAUACAUAAAUCGCGUCCGCCCGCAAGGCGCGCGGCUGCGAGAGACGAACGAGGGACGCCGCGAGUCGGCCGGAGCGGGCUUAGAGGAGAUUUAGGAAUUAGGGGAAUUACGUCCAAGUGCCUGCUUACGCACGAGUACGUAACGGAGGAGAAGAAGACGCUGCCCGGGGAGCAAGGCCAGACGUGCGCUGAAUCGCGCCUGAAACUGCGCCUUCGAGAGUUUCAGGGAGACGUCGUCCCGUUGGAGCCGAUUCGCCGGCGCGCCUGGCCUCUCCCCGUCCUCCCAAGCCCCUUUGCCACCCCUGCAAUCCGCGUUCCGCGUGUUCGAGGAGCUUAUUAGUCAAUCGAAAUUUCGCCGACGACGCCAGGUCGCCAGGUUCUGUACAUAAGAGGGCGGUAGACUCACGUACAAGGUCCAGGAUCACGUAGAAGGAUCGAUCCUUGUUUUGUAUAUACUUUCGCGGGGAUGGACGAGGCUCGUUCAACCCCUGUCGCUGUUCUCCGACUGCCGCGGACCCAGUCGCUUCUGGGGACCGAGGCGCUAUGGGCAACGUGCAAACUGGUAGGUAUCCAGAAGGACCUCGACCCGGAGAUCGCGUCUCUUGGGUCCUCCGGACGGCGAAUCGACCUGUACUCUGUAAGAAGAGGGAAGAGGGACUCGGAGAUUCGAGGGAGUAUGGAAAAGACACUUUACCUUUCAACUAACCGAUGUUAACGUGCACACGAACACGCGGUAGCAAUCGCGCGGUAAUAAUACAACAGUACGGUGUUCGGAGUCAACGAGAGAUUCGACGAGAUGUCGGGUUGUACAUUCGAAGCGUCGGCGUUAAAUUCAAAAUGGCGGUGGUCGAACUACGCUUCGCACCGCGCAAGAUCGUUCCGCGAUCCACGAGGGUGUCGCGGCGAGCCAGUUAAGAGUAAACAUUCGUCCUUUUUGCGCGAGCGGCGCCCGCGCUCGCGAGUCGUGGAGGACUUCCGGUCCCACGGGGGAUUCGUCGACGGGACGCGCGAUCCGAGUUGGCGUCGUACUUUUAACCCUCGUUAAUUUCAACCUCCUCUGUGCAAUAUAUCGUUUAGAUGCGUGUCGCGUCGAUCGCGCGUGAUCCUCGAGAUUCGUAGGAAUCGGAUCGACGGCGGACGCCGACCGGACCCGAACUUUCGUGGGCCGACGCGCGCUUCCUCGGUUCGACGAUGUCCGCGGGAAACGGUGCGAAACACACGCGAGCGUCGCGCCGCUCGAGAUUGUUAAUAUUUUUUUAUAUUAUAUUGUAUACCGUGCGAAUCGUCGCUCGUUUCGGGGAGUCCGACGCAUCGGCAGGUGGAUCGGGGCGCGCACCUGUGUCGCGCGCGGUCGCGAACGGUCGUCGGCGGGCGGAGUGCGUGCGCCCGUGGAACGCGAGGAUUGGGGAGAGCGAGCGAACGCGAGCCGGCAGAGACGAGAGAAUAAAAUCGACUAUCAUUUUGUACUUUGACUACACGAGAGCGAGUAUGCGUGCGCGUCAGCGGCGAUGUGUGUGGGCGACGGGAAUUGGGCGAAGGGCGGCACGGCCGGGUGAGAGGAGGGUUGAAAUUGGGUGAAGCUGGCCGAGGGCAAGGAAAAAUUGUACAUUGUUUUGUAAAGAGUACAUUUAUUUAUAUCUGUGAUAACGGGCACGGUUAAAAGGAAUUAAAAAGAAAAAGCAGGAGAGAGGUAGGUUCGAGAAACGGAGCGAGAACGACGGACGAGGAGCGAGAGAGAGAGAACGGAAGAGUGGAACGGCAGAGACGUAGCGGAAGGGGAAACGUCACGGCGUCGGUAUACUUCGACGAAGACGAUCGGUGCUCGUGCAUUCGUUGACGCAUAUAUCUUAUAGGAUUAAUUCUAGACUCGAUAAUGGUUUUGUAAAUAAUCGACGCAUAGCCCAAGGGACACGAGGGUUUUACCUUCCUUUCGGAUCCGAGCGACAGAUAAAUAAAUGACAAAACAAAAAAAACGAACUAUGAAUUAUAAGGGUAAAACAAUUAUACAUAUAUACAUAUAUAAAUAUAUAUAGGGAAGAGAGGAAGAGAGAAACGUUUGUUUUUCCCGCGCGACACGAUCGCACCCUCGUGUGAAGAGACGAAGAGAGAACUAUUUGUUGUGAAUAUACAUAAUACAGGUACUAGGUAUAUAGAUAUAUAAAUAUAAAUAUAUAAAUAUAUAUAAAUAUAUACAUACUACGAUUAAUAGGUUCUAUUUGGUUGUUCGUACGAAUUCAAUUGUAAAUUAAUUCAAUUGUACAUAGUUCUGAAUGUGAAUAUAGACAGAAUAUAUCUAUUAUUAUUAUUAUUAUUAUUAUUAUUAUUAUUAUUAUUAUUAUUAU